This 460-nucleotide ribosomal RNA is filed under the name uncultured bacterium. RNAcentral describes it as "partial 16S ribosomal RNA". It matches the Rfam family "Bacterial small subunit ribosomal RNA", at positions 338 to 795 of the family's 1533-position model. The record is from RNAcentral.
CCUACGGGUGGCUGCAGUGAGGAAUAUUGGUCAAUGGGCGGGAGCCUGAACCAGCCAAGUAGCGUGAAGGAUGACUGCCCUACGGGUUUUACACUUCUUUUAUAAAGGAAUAAAGUGAGGCACGUGUGCCUUUUUGUAUGUACUUUAUGAAUAAGGAUCGGCUAAUUCCGUGCCAGCAGCCGCGGUAAUACGGAGGAUCCGAGCGUUAUCCGGAUUUAUUGGGUUUAAAGGGAGCGUAGAUGGGUUGUUAAGUCAGGGGUGAAAUUUUGCGGCUCAACCGUUAAAUUGCAGUUGAUACUGGCAGCCUUGAGUACAGGUAAGGUAGGCGGAAUUCGUGGUGUAGCGGUGAAAUGCUUAGAUAUCACGAAGAACUCCGAUUGCGAAGGCAGCUUACUGAACUGCCACUGACAUUGAUGCUCGAAAGUGUGGGUAUCAAACAGGAUUAGAUACCCUAGUAGUC